This is a long non-coding RNA of Cercocebus atys (sooty mangabey), 5567 nucleotides long. RefSeq lists it as uncharacterized. Lineage: Eukaryota; Metazoa; Chordata; Mammalia; Primates; Cercopithecidae. The transcript has 2 exons. The record is from RefSeq and is a predicted model, not a curated record.
GACCUCAAGUGACACACUUGCCUUCGCCUCCCAAAGUGCUGGGAUUAUAGGCGUGAGCCACCACGCCCGGACCACUUUUCGUCUUUAAAUUUCACUAAUAAGGCUUCCUAGGUCAUGACUUUUUUUUUUGGGGGGGGGGGACAAGCUUAGUCCGAAAGGUCAUUCUGAAAGACAUUUACAUCAUAAAUACAUACAUCAUCUUUCCGCAAAUGAAGGGUAAAGAAGGGUAAACAUGUAGCCUUUAGUUAUGUUAUAUCACAUACCACCACGUUGGGAAAUUUUAAAUUGCUCCUAUUCAUAAAUAGGGAAAUAUGAGUUAUAGAUGUGUUUAGUUAAAAAAGAUUAAGGAAAAUGAAGAGUGAUCUGUGUACAUAUGCAAAGAAAAAAAAGAGUCUCAAGUGAAAGACAAAUUGUUACAAAGAUCAGACUUUUGAGAACACAAAGAACAGUCACGCUGAAUUCCAUUCAAAUAUUAAGAACCUACCAUGUGCAAAAAAAGUGCUGCAAAAACACAAGAUUUUAAGUUCCAUUAAAAGAGAAGUUAUGAUAAAAGCACACACACUUAAUGAUUCCUGUUUUUGCCAUAAAAGUUCUUAUAUGCUAUAAAAAUGUUACUAAAAAUAUGUCCCUUAUAGACAAGAUUUUUCAUGACUAAGAUGAACACAAUUAGAUAUACUGAUGAAUCAGGAAAAUAGACAUCAAAAACAUUUUUUAAUCAAAGUCAAUUCUGCAUAGAAAAAAAAAUAAUUUUAAGGGUACAAAAAGCAACAUACUGAAAUAUUAAGGAAAUUUUAUCUUCUUAUCUUUAAAAAUAAUCAACUAUAGUUCAAACCAGCCAAGCAAAUAGGAAGAUACUAAUUUUUCACUAUGUCUGCAAGUUGGAGGCUAAUUUCCCUCUGUGCAUGAAAAGUGUUAAUUACUUGAAUAAAACCUUUUUGGUAAAGCUCAGAGUUCCUUUUGAUGUCAAAAACACAGAAAGUUCAAAGGUUAGACAGUCACUCAACAGUAUGACAGGCCUAAAACCUGAACAGGAAACUCAUUUCUAAACUUACCCGUAAGGUAUUGCAAUCCUAAACCCAGAGUGGCCAGGCAUUGUUUAGCCUGCUGGUGUUUUUGUACUUUGCCUAAGGAUUUAUUCAGAGCGGUGACAAUACCUACCUCAUCACCAAGGAGAAACAUUCUUUCGGAUACAAAGAAUCCCAGCCAUUUCUUCUAACACUGCCCCCACCCCCACCCCACCCACUAAUUACUUUCUCAACAUUCUGGAAGGCUAAAGACCCUAGUCAAGUUGAAUAGCCCCGGAUUUAGCCCACAUUAUGUUCUAUCUUGUACUUCACACCCCUCCCAAAAUUAAAAAGAAAAGAAAAAACAUUAACCACAUUGGAUGUAGUCAGGAGGAGGAUGGCUGCAACAAGAUCAACUUGGAAAUAAGAAAUAACUUCAAUAGAAAGAAAGAAUAGAAGUGGCUAAUCAUAUAGAAAAGGUGUCAUUUACAAAAGGUUACCAGAGGCAUAUAAACUCAGGGAAGCCAGAUUUUGGCAUACAGUGUGAUUCAUUCCUUUAUUCAAUAAGCAUUCCCUAAUGCCUCCAGGCACCCUGCUAGGCACUGGUUGAAAAGGCAAACGUGGUCCCUGUUCCCAAAGAGUUCACAGUGCAGCAGGGAAGAGACCACUAAACAUAUGAUUAUAGUACGCACGUUUGAGCCUUGAAAGAGAUAAAGGAGAGUCAAAAAUUAGGUGAGGGUGAGGUUGGCGGCAGAUGAUGCAAUGGGUCGUGGCAAUAGCAACACUAUGAUUUGAACUGGAAAUACGAAUAUGACGAAUAUGAGUAUCUGUUUAGUAGAGACCUCAGAUAAUCAUCAAAGCAAUGGAGAAAAUGGUACGGAGGACGCCUCCACGAAUUCAAAUCAUCUGUGUUUUCUGAGUUGUUCAGCUGAUAAAUAUGACUUGCCUUUUAUCAUCAACAAGAACUUCGUACCACCCUGAAAUCUGAUCAAAUACUGUUUCCUUGAAAUAGGAGAUGUUAUCCAUUUUUUAACCACUCAAACUUCUUCUCUUAUCUAUUAAUUUCACAAUUCUUUAGAUUCAAUAUAUCAAGUUUGGAAACUAAUAGAUGAAUUAAGUAAAUAAUGGCUUUUUUUUUUUUUUUUUUUUUUACCUCUCAUAAAUUGGAUCCAGUUAUCAGCAAAACAUUGAAGUUCCCUGAAGACGUUCUGGUGGAGACUGAAACAUUAGUUUUUAAAGGAGAUUAGUUUUUUAAUCAAAUACUUAACCUUUUAUAUCACUUGUAGUUUAAAUGGUAUUCUGCAGGCCUUGGGCAUAAUCAAAAUGAAAUGCAUUUUUCUCUGAAGGUAGUUCUUUUAAAACUCAGCCAAUAAUAAUGCCUUUUAAAGUGUAAGGAUUUUUGCCACCAAAAGAACCUGAGCAAUGAACUUAAAACUACAUUUUUAAGUAUAUAGACAAAAAGCAUACCUCAUCUAUUAUAAUAGGUGGAGCAAGUGUUGGCCCUCCUUUACUAAAUACAGAAGUCUCAUACUAUGAGAGGCACUUCAAUGCCGUGGGAAGUCAUAAAAUGUGGUUCCAGUUCUGGCUCCUUCACUAAUUAACACAUCAUCUCUCCAUGUCUCAGCUUCCUCAUAACCCUACUCUUCAGCAGGCAGAUAAGACCAUUAAGUCUUUUGGGGGGAUUGGGGGGAGGGUGGAGUCCUAAAAUUCAAUGGAUAAUAAAACUAGUUAAUAUUUAGGGAGAACUAUCUUAUGUCAGGCACUGAGCAGAAUGCUUUUCAUUCAGUAUGUCAUUUAAUUUUACAAAGCAACACUAAAAAGACAGAUACCAGAAUCACCAUCUUACCAAUGAGGAAAUGGGGGUUUAGACAAUUAAAUGACACACAAAAGGAUAUCAAACACUCAUAACCACUAACUUCAACCAUUUUCCCAAGCCUUUAAGUUCUCACUAGGUCAUGCAGGUAACCAGAUUCCAACUGAUUUUUAAAAUACACAGUUUUCCAGAAAAUGAAACAUUUUGCAGUAUUUUUACACAACAUUGCUGAAUGUCAAUUCUGCAUACUUUUGCAAUAAGAAGGUUUCAAACAAUUUCUCUCUUUGUUUUAUCUCCAGGUAGAUUUACUAUGCAUAGAUAUCUGCUUCUAAAGUCCGAGCAGUGUUCUGGAAUGCAGAACCAGAUCAUCUGCUAGGAUGCCCAUUUUCAUCCCCAAUGUCUACAGAACAGGUAUUUUGGGUUCUUUCUUACCUUUCAUAAAGUGUUUUCAUCACAGAAGCUGCCUCAAAGAAGAUGAGGAAGCAGAUAUCUAAAUAACUGUACCUCUUUCUCGGUAGUCUUUCUGAUCUUUGCCCAUCUGCCUUUCAUCCCUGCAUAUACUGAGUCCGAGGAGGAGAAGGGGAAAAGGGGAUUACAAAGAAAUUGCCACUGUCAUUUAAUGAAUUGAUGCUGGUGUGCUUUUAAUAACCCCAUUUAAUUGUACAGUCGUAUUUUCUGCAGAAGCUCUCCUACCACUAAUGUAUUAACAGUCUCUUGCCCUACCCAGGGGAAUUACAACUGCUCCAUUUUCUCCUCUUUCAACCCAGCCUGUACAUUACUUGUCUUCCUCUUAAAAUUGUCACAAAAACCAAGAGCAAAACAAAAAAUUGCUAGGUUUUAGCCAGGUAUAAGGUAAGUAUAUGAAAAUAACGACAUUUAACUGCUGGGAAAAACAAGAGUUGGGGAGUUCUUGUGAAAGAGGAGUGUAAUUAACAGUAUAAAAAUGAUGAAGUCUUGUGGCCACAAUCAUGGGGACAAGAAAUGUUAAUUUCCCCUUAUUUUAAAACCGUAACAUCAUUAAGUCCGUUAUAGAGAACUGAUGGCAACAUGUGACCUCAGACUAAGGGAAGGGGAUGGAUUUUCUCAUCCUAAGAUACUAUGCCAGGCCAAAAAUAGCAAAAUGCAUUAAAAAUAGCUGAUGUCUUAACUGAGGCCUGUUGUAUCCAGGUAUAUAUUUAUUUCUAAACUUUCACAUCAUGCACCAUAACACAAUGCAAAAAGAGCAAUUCUCAUGUAAGUCUCACUAUUGUCCUAAAAAGCAUUGUUCUUCGCAUGUGAGAGGAAAAAAAGUUUCUCAAACUAGACAUCAUGAAAAGACAUCUUAAGAUUACAUCUGGAAAUCUUUUGAUUUUGUUAUUUGGAAAAUUCUAAAUUUAUUUUCCAAUAAGAUCUUUCUGUUCUUUCUCAAUCAUACUAAUACGAAUAAAUCUCCCCCAAAAUAAAACCAUUAUAAGGUGACAAUAAGAUUGAGUAACCUAAAACAAUGAUAUUUCAGCAGAUGCCCAGUUUCUUUUAACAAGAAACAGAUGGGCAAAGUUUAAGUAAACGUGCGGUAUGAAUUUCUAUACAACAAAUAAGUUCCAAACUUACAGAUAAUGUAACCCCAAACACCAGGUCAAGCUAACUAUAAUUAUAUAGUGAGCUGAACACAUUUUCUUUUAAUUAAGUUUCAAAUGGUUUUCUCACAAGUCAUUCCUAUCCACAGGCCCAGUGAAAUCUCUGCUGGUCUUCUGGACUUCAUUUUAAUUUCCCUCACUCAUUCUAAACUUCUUCUGAAAUUGAAAACAGUGAAGAAAGAAUUAAGUUUGGGGCGAGAGAAAGAAACGUGAAAUUUCAGAACGCAAUGGACAUACAAUUUCAGAGGAUGAAUUCGCCACUUCAAGGCUCGUGCCCAGCGCUGGAUAGAAACAAUGAAAACAGUCUUGGGAACAGGAGCCCCUAGGGAUGUAGGCACUGCCACCCAAUCUGACAGCAAAUACACCUUUGAAUUAAUAAUUUUCAUACUUCCCACACUCUGAACUUUUUUUCCUGAAAUAAGAAUAUUCCUCCAUUCCUAGAAAGGAGCCCAACCCUGAAAUUAAACCCAAUGCUACAGAACCAUUGAAUCGUUUCAUCAGAUAUUCACAUACUAAAACUAAAACCUUAGCUUCAGAUUGGAGGUACAGUUUUCAGAAUAGUUAUUAGACAUUGUCAGGGAUCUUGAACCAAGGAUCAGAGGUCUACAAACCCUACAAAAACCUACAUAGAACUUUGAUGUGUACUUUUCUGAAAGGAGGUUUUAGAAUCCAGAGUGCUCUCUGACCUAAAAAAGUCAAUAACCAACCAUAAAGUUGUUUCUUUAUGCUGGGGAGAAAAACAUCAUAAAGUUAUGCCAGUUGAACAGAAUAUUGAAGGAAAACAUUUUCCUUCAAUCUAAUGUGUUUACACAGAAAGAAUUUAAUGACAAACUUUUAUCAUGUAGACUACAACAGAAAAAAAAUUGUUUAAUAAAAGAUAAGUUUGAUUCAUGCAUGUAAUUGGGAAGCAUUUGUUCUUAUUGUUUUUACAUAUUAAUGUACAAAGAGAUUCUUUCUCCUGUGAGUAGAAUAUAAAAACCUGGUAGAAACAAGCCCAUUCUCAGGCUUAUAAAACAAGCCUUUACAGAUAAUUAUGUUUUAUUACUCUUCAUUUUAUGGGGAUUGUGUUAUACAAAACAAAUACCAGAUGCCUAUUUGUUUUAUUCAUUUCAGGGCAAAAAAAAAAAAAAAAAA